UACGUAGGGUGCGAGCGUUAAUCGGAAUUACUGGGCGUAAAGCGUGCGUAGGCGGUUUGUUAAGACAGGUGUGAAAUCCCCGGGCUUAACCUGGGAAUUGCGCUUGUUACUGGCAGACUAGAGUACGUCAGAGGGGGGUGGAAUUCCACGUGUAGCAGUGAAAUGCGUAGAGAUGUGGAGGAACACCGAUGGCGAAGGCAGCCCCCUGGGAUGAUACUGACGCUCAGGCACGAAAGCGUGGGGAGCAAACAGG
RNAcentral lists this ribosomal RNA (253 nucleotides) under uncultured beta proteobacterium. RNAcentral's name for it is "partial 16S ribosomal RNA". It matches the Rfam family "Bacterial small subunit ribosomal RNA", at positions 524 to 776 of the family's 1533-position model. Lineage: Bacteria; Pseudomonadati; Pseudomonadota; Betaproteobacteria. The record is from RNAcentral.